UACAGAGGGUGCAAACGUUGCUCGGAAUCAUUGGGCGUAAAGCGCACGUAGGCGGCCUAGCAAGUAGGGAGUGAAAGCCCUCGGCUUAACCGAGGAAGUGCUUUCUAAACUACUAGGCUUGAAUACUGGAGAGGGUCGCGGAAUUCCCGGUGUAGAGGUGAAAUUCGUAGAUAUCGGGAGGAACUCCGGUGGCGAAGGCGAGGCGCUGGACCCUUUCUGACGCUGAGGCGCGAAAGCCAGGGGAGCAAACGGG
Molecule: ribosomal RNA, 253 nt
Filed under: uncultured bacterium
Lineage: Bacteria
Description: partial 16S ribosomal RNA
Rfam family: Bacterial small subunit ribosomal RNA
Source: RNAcentral